GUGCCAGCAGCCGCGGUAAUACAGAGGUCCCAAGCGUUGUUCGGAUUCACUGGGCGUAAAGGGUGCGCAGGUGGUCGGGUAAGUCUGAUGUGAAAUCCCGCAGCUUAACUGCGGAAUGGCAUUGGAUACUAUUCGGCUAGAGGGUUGGAGGGGGGACUGGAAUUCUCGGUGUAGCAGUGAAAUGCGUAGAUAUCGAGAGGAACACCAGUGGCGAAGGCGAGUCCCUGGACAACUCCUGACGCUGAGGCACGAAAGCUAGGGGAGCAAACAGGAUUAGAAACCCCCGUAGUCC
RNAcentral lists this ribosomal RNA (292 nucleotides) under uncultured bacterium. Its description in RNAcentral is "partial 16S ribosomal RNA". It matches the Rfam family "Bacterial small subunit ribosomal RNA", at positions 505 to 796 of the family's 1533-position model. The record is from RNAcentral.